UACGAGGGGGGCAAAUGUUGUUGGGAAUCACUGGGCGUAAAGGGAGCGUAGGCGGGCUUUUAAGUUAGGUGUUUAAUCCCGGGGCCCAACCCCGGACAGGCACCUAAAACUGGGAGUCUUGAAUAGUGGAGAGGACGGCGGAAUUGGGGGUGUAGCGGUGGAAUGCGUAGAGAUCCCCAAGAACACCAGUUGCGAAGGCGGCCGUCUGGACACAUAUUGACGCUGAGGCUCGAAAGCAUGGGGAGCAAACAGG
Molecule: ribosomal RNA, 253 nt
Filed under: uncultured bacterium
Lineage: Bacteria
Description: partial 16S ribosomal RNA
Rfam family: Bacterial small subunit ribosomal RNA
Source: RNAcentral